RNAcentral lists this ribosomal RNA (331 nucleotides) under uncultured bacterium. RNAcentral describes it as "bacterial SSU rRNA". It matches the Rfam family "Bacterial small subunit ribosomal RNA", at positions 568 to 898 of the family's 1533-position model. The record is from RNAcentral.
CGUGUAGGCGGUCGGGUAAGUCAGAUGUGAAAGCCUUCUGCUUAACAGAAGAAGUGCAUUUGAAACUGCUCGGCUGGAGUACGGGAGAGGAGAGUGGAAUUCCCGGUGUAGAGGUGAAAUUCGUAGAUAUCGGGAGGAACACCAGUGGCGAAGGCGGCUCUCUGGUCCGAUACUGACGCUGAGACGCGAAAGCGUGGGAGCAAACAGGAUUAGAUACCCUGGUAGUCCACGCCGUAAACGAUGGGCACUAGGUGUAGGAGGUAUUGACCCCUUCUGUGCCGAAGUUAACGCAUUAAGUGCCCCGCCUGGGGAGUACGGCCGCAAGGCUAAA